AGAUUGAACGCUGGCGGCAUGCCUUACACAUGCAAGUCGAACGGCAGCACGGGAGCAAUCCUGGUGGCGAGUGGCGAACGGGUGAGUAAUACAUCGGAACGUGCCCAAUCGUGGGGGAUAACGCAGCGAAAGCUGUGCUAAUACCGCAUAAGAUCUACGGAUGAAAGCAGGGGAUCGCAAGACCUUGCGCGAAUGGAGCGGCCGAUGGCAGAUUAGGUAGUUGGUGAGGUAAAGGCUCACCAAGCCUUCGAUCUGUAGCUGGUCUGAGAGGACGACCAGCCACACGUGGGACUGAGA
RNAcentral lists this ribosomal RNA (297 nucleotides) under uncultured soil bacterium. RNAcentral's name for it is "partial 16S ribosomal RNA". It matches the Rfam family "Bacterial small subunit ribosomal RNA", at positions 26 to 324 of the family's 1533-position model. The record is from RNAcentral.